AUGUAUUAUUGUACUACAGACACAGUGAAGAAACUCCAGUGCUGGAUAACCAAGGAUUCCAGUCCUCAACCAAUACAGAACACAGACCAGCACCACGCAGGGGCGCUGAUCUGGGUUUUCCUUGUCACUGUUUUAAGAGGUGUCCAGUAUGAGGUGCAGCUGGUGGAGUCUGGGGAAGGCUUGGUUCAGCCUGGGGGAUCCUUGAGACUCUCCUGUGCAGCCUCCGGAUUCAUCUUCAGUGGUUCCUGGAUGAGCUGGAUCCGCCAGCCUCCAGGGAAGAGGCCUGAGUGGCUCUCAUACAUCAAUAGUGGUAGUAGUAACAUACAGUAUGCAGACUCUGUGAAGGGCCGCUUCACCAUCUCCAGAGACAACAGCAAGAACACACUUUACCUGCAGAUGAACAGCCUGAGAGAGGAGGACACGGUCCUCUAUUAUUACUGUGCCAGAGACACAGUGCCAGAAAUCCAGUGUGGGCCCAGACACGAACCUCCCUGCAGGGCUGCUCAGGACCAGCAGGGGGCACGUGUCAUCACCUGUGACAGGAUGGAGGAUGAUGGAGCAAUCCCCAGCUCUCCAUCCCCAUGA
Perognathus longimembris pacificus (Pacific pocket mouse) is the source of this 585-nucleotide non-coding RNA. NCBI's taxonomy places the organism in Eukaryota, Metazoa, Chordata, Mammalia, Rodentia, Heteromyidae. The record is from the annotation of a RefSeq genome assembly.